GUACGAAAACACCGAUUUACGUCUGAAUGCAGAUUCGGAAAGAUCAGAACUUAGAAACUUGUUCGUAAAAGCGCAGAGAGCAGUAGCUAUGUAGGAGGUUUGCAGUAAUGAUAAAGUGCUCAAAAUAAAAGCAAACCAGAGAUUUAGAGUGGUUCGGUCAGUCUUGACCUACUCCACUUUUGGCUUCCUCCACCGACGAGGUCACC
Molecule: long non-coding RNA, 206 nt
Filed under: Musa acuminata (dwarf banana)
Lineage: Eukaryota; Viridiplantae; Streptophyta; Magnoliopsida; Zingiberales; Musaceae
Description: long non-coding RNA (MACU_LNC011852)
Source: RNAcentral